This 490-nucleotide ribosomal RNA is filed under the name uncultured bacterium. Its description in RNAcentral is "partial 16S ribosomal RNA". It matches the Rfam family "Bacterial small subunit ribosomal RNA", at positions 30 to 507 of the family's 1533-position model. The record is from RNAcentral.
AUUGAACGCUGGCGGCAGGCCUAACACAUGCAAGUCGAACGCUAACAGGAAGAAGCUUGCUUCUUUGCUGACGAGUGGCGGACGGGUGAGUAAUGUCUGGGAAACUGCCUGAUGGAGGGGGAUAACUACUGGAAACGGUAGCUAAUACCGCAUAACGUCGCAAGACCAAAGAGGGGGACCUUCGGGCCUCUUGCCAUCGGAUGUGCCCAGAUGGGAUUAGCUAGUAGGUGGGGUAACGGCUCACCUAGGCGACGAUCCCUAGCUGGUCUGAGAGGAUGACCAGCCACACUGGAACUGAGACACGGUCCAGACUCCUACGGGAGGCAGCAGUGGGGAAUAUUGCACAAUGGGCGCAAGCCUGAUGCAGCCAUGCCGCGUGUAUGAAGAAGGCCUUCGGGUUGUAAAGUACUUUCGGCGGGGAGGAAGGGAGUAAAGUUAAUACCUUGGCUCAUUGACGUUACCCGCAGAAGAAGCACCGGCUAACUCCGUG